UACAGAGGUCUCAAGCGUUGUUCGGAUUCAUUGGGCGUAAAGGGUGCGCAGGCGGUUGUGUAAGUCGGAUGUGAAAUCCCGGGGCUCAACCCCGGAACUGCAUUCGAUACUGCAUGACUAGAGGACUGGAGAGGAGAUUGGAAUUUACGGUGUAGCAGUGAAAUGCGUAGAUAUCGUAAGGAAGACCAGUGGCGAAGGCGAAUCUCUGGACAGUUCCUGACGCUCAUGCACGAAGGCUAGGGGAGCAAACGGG
Molecule: ribosomal RNA, 253 nt
Filed under: uncultured bacterium
Lineage: Bacteria
Also listed under: 1 other name
Description: partial 16S ribosomal RNA
Rfam family: Bacterial small subunit ribosomal RNA
Source: RNAcentral